CAUCGAAACUUCGAACGCAUCUUGCGCUCCCGGGAUAUGCCUGGGAGCAUGCUUGUCGGGGAGGAGGAGGCGAAAACUCGCCCACAGCUUUGGGUUCGAUCUCGACCUCAAGGCGGUGGAGCGGAAUAUGAGUGUUCCGGGGAGCGGUAGUGCGGUGUGUAUUUUGUACAUGCCUCCUGCUCGUCCCCUGAGUCCACCCAAGCCUAGAGAGCUACCGAUUGUCCGGGCMYCRUUGNCUUUGCGGCGCUGUANACAGGUCCACCUUGCGUCCUCCGGAAGAUMCNNNGUUGAUACCUUNNCAACCUCGCCCCCUCUCNCGGGGCGGGGCAGGGCGGAGGAGACACUGACGCCSGGGAUGUGCGCGGGUUACCUUGAGGCGUCGCA
RNAcentral lists this unclassified non-coding RNA (384 nucleotides) under Sargassum sp. 1 MS-2013. RNAcentral's name for it is "sequence contains 5.8S rRNA gene, ITS2 and 28S rRNA gene". The record is from RNAcentral. Lineage: Eukaryota; Phaeophyceae; Fucales; Sargassaceae.